CAGACGCGCACAAAAAAGGCCACUCUUUCGAGUAGCCUUUUUUGAUGUU
RNAcentral lists this small RNA (49 nucleotides) under Pseudomonas sp. AD21. RNAcentral describes it as "STnc320". Lineage: Bacteria; Pseudomonadati; Pseudomonadota; Gammaproteobacteria; Pseudomonadales; Pseudomonadaceae. The record is from RNAcentral.